UGGCUGGCUAAGCAGUGUGGAUACUUCGUAUAGCUAAAUGGUAAAGCCCUUAUUAAUCACAUGAGUAUUUGUGGGUUCGAUCCCCACUACGUCUCUUUCUACACGCGCGAUCCAGCUUUUUU
Molecule: non-coding RNA, 122 nt
Organism: Strongylocentrotus purpuratus (purple sea urchin)
Lineage: Eukaryota; Metazoa; Echinodermata; Echinoidea; Camarodonta; Strongylocentrotidae
Source: Rfam